Molecule: ribosomal RNA, 450 nt
Filed under: Kosakonia sacchari
Lineage: Bacteria; Pseudomonadati; Pseudomonadota; Gammaproteobacteria; Enterobacterales; Enterobacteriaceae
Description: bacterial SSU rRNA
Rfam family: Bacterial small subunit ribosomal RNA
Source: RNAcentral
AUGGCUGUCGUCAGCUCGUGUUGUGAAAUGUUGGGUUAAGUCCCGCAACGAGCGCAACCCUUAUCCUUUGUUGCCAGCGGUUAGGCCGGGAACUCAAAGGAGACUGCCAGUGAUAAACUGGAGGAAGGUGGGGAUGACGUCAAGUCAUCAUGGCCCUUACGAGUAGGGCUACACACGUGCUACAAUGGCGCAUACAAAGAGAAGCGACCUCGCGAGAGCAAGCGGACCUCAUAAAGUGCGUCGUAGUCCGGAUUGGAGUCUGCAACUCGACUCCAUGAAGUCGGAAUCGCUAGUAAUCGUGGAUCAGAAUGCCACGGUGAAUACGUUCCCGGGCCUUGUACACACCGCCCGUCACACCAUGGGAGUGGGUUGCAAAAGAAGUAGGUAGCUUAACCUUCGGGAGGGCGCUUCCCACUUUGUGAUCAUGCCUGGGGUGAAGUCGAGACAAGA